UUUCCUCCCCGGGCGCCGACUCGAAUGGCGACGAAACCCUCGCCUGCCCUUGGCUUGCGCCGCUUCGGGCGAGGAAGAGAUGGUUAAUACGGAGCCUACCGCCACCGGAGAGAAAGAGCCGACCGAUGAGGAGCCUGUCGCCGAUUCCCUUGACCGCGGGCUCCUCUCCGAGGACGUCCAACGAUCUUGAGGCCGCGACCAAGAAUCUUAAGAGGCGGAGAAAGUGUCCGAGAAAGGAGCAAAGGAUGCUGAGGAAGAGCACGCGAGGAGGUCGGCCGCAAAGGAGGCAGAGUUAUAGGCUGGAUGUCAUGGUGGGAUAUAUAUAUAGAAGAAAUGAUGCCCAAGGUCCAGGAGGAGAUUUAUCUCGAGAUAGAUGAUGAGGGAGAUGCCGAGGCAACUUCCCACAAUCUGGGAGCACCACCGGCGAUCGGAUUAGCAUCCAAGGCGGUGACGGCAGUAGUAUUACUUCAUCUCACGUUGCAGAGGAAUGGAUUAGUUCGUCUGUCUUGGCAGUGGAUGCUGCUUCUGUGCCUUCGACAUAGGAUUCCAAUUCCAUGGGAACUUGGUUCUUGAAUGGUUCUUCAAGUAAAUAACAAAAUCGGUGAUUCCAGAGACAUGACUGUCCCGAGUACCUCAUUGGUGACAUUGACUGCAACGGCUCCGUGACAUGGGUAACCUGCCCUCCUAUAGUCUAUUCCUUCAACCUCGCAUUGAUCUAGUCCUGUACCGUGGUCUAAUUUCUUUAGGUAUAUUAGUUAUGUGAUUUGUUAACUGGGUGGCGCUUAUAUCAUGAAGUCUUCGUAGUCUUGGCUAGUUGGCCAAUGAAUUUGGAACAAUUGAGUUUUGAGCAAGCUCAUACAUGAUGCGGACUCAUAAUGAUGACACCUAAUGGCUUGAUGUUGCUUUAAAGUAAUGUGGACAUGGAGUGACCGGACCAAUUAGGAUAAGAGGACUGCAUUUGGGAUAUGGGAUGUGUAGUCUGGAUCUACAAUAUCAAAACACCUCAGCUGUUUGGCAUUUUCUGUGGUUUUUACUGUGAAAGGUUCAUGUGUUAUAAAAAUCCAGGCUUAAGGAAUUAAUUAGCACUCUUUUCAUUUGCAGAACAUUUUACUUUGUGAUUCUUUUUGUAAACUUAUUGUAGCAAUACAGAAGAGUUCAAAGGAGCGAAGA
Musa acuminata subsp. malaccensis (wild Malaysian banana) is the source of this 1170-nucleotide long non-coding RNA. RefSeq lists it as uncharacterized. Lineage: Eukaryota; Viridiplantae; Streptophyta; Magnoliopsida; Zingiberales; Musaceae. The record is from RefSeq and is a predicted model, not a curated record.